Molecule: ribosomal RNA, 525 nt
Filed under: uncultured bacterium
Lineage: Bacteria
Description: bacterial SSU rRNA
Rfam family: Bacterial small subunit ribosomal RNA
Source: RNAcentral
GACGAACGCUGGCGGCGUGCCUAAUACAUGCAAGUCGAACGCUUUUUCUUUCACCGGAGCUUGCUCCACCGAAAGAAAAGGAGUGGCGAACGGGUGAGUAACACGUGGGUAACCUACCCUCCAGCGGGGGAUAACACUUGGAAACAGGUGCUAAUACCGCAUAACAGAGAAAACCGCCUGGUUUUCUUUUGAAAGGCGCAAUUGCGUCACUGGAGGAUGGACCCGCGGUGCAUUAGCUAGUUGGUGAGGUAACGGCUCACCAAGGCAACGAUGCAUAGCCGACCUGAGAGGGUGAUCGGCCACAUUGGGACUGAGACACGGCCCAAACUCCUACGGGAGGCAGCAGUAGGGAAUCUUCGGCAAUGGACGAAAGUCUGACCGAGCAACGCCGCGUGAGUGAAGAAGGUUUUCGGAUUGUAAAGCACUGUUGUAUAGGAAGAAUAAGGUAAACAGGGAAUGGUUUACUGAUGACGGUACUAUACGAGGAAGUCACGGCUAACUACGUGCCAGCAGCCGCAGUAACAC